UACGUAGGGUGCGAGCGUUAAUCGGAAUUACUGGGCGUAAAGCGUGCGCAGGCGGCGCGUUAAGACAGGUGUGAAAGCCCCGAGCUUAACUUGGGAAUUGCGCUUGUGACUGGCGAGCUGGAGUGUGGCAGAGGGAGGUGGAAUUCCACGUGUAGCGGUGAAAUGCGUAGAGAUGUGGAGGAACACCAAUGGCGAAGGCAGCCUUCUGGGCCAACACUGACGCUCAUGCACGAAAGCGUGGGGAGCAAACAGG
Molecule: ribosomal RNA, 253 nt
Filed under: uncultured bacterium
Lineage: Bacteria
Description: partial 16S ribosomal RNA
Rfam family: Bacterial small subunit ribosomal RNA
Source: RNAcentral